RNAcentral lists this ribosomal RNA (196 nucleotides) under uncultured bacterium. Its description in RNAcentral is "partial 16S ribosomal RNA". It matches the Rfam family "Bacterial small subunit ribosomal RNA", at positions 337 to 525 of the family's 1533-position model. The record is from RNAcentral.
CCCUACGGGAGGCAGCAGUGGGGAAUUUUGGACAAUGGGCGCAAGCCUGAUCCAGCAUGCCGCGUGCAGGAUGAAGGCCUUCGGGUUGUAAACUGCUUUUGUACGGAACGAAACGGUCCUUUUUAAUAAAGAGGGCUAAUGACGGUACCGUAAGAAUAAGCACCGGCUAACUACGUGCCAGCAGGCGCGGUAAUUA